This 497-nucleotide ribosomal RNA is filed under the name uncultured bacterium. RNAcentral describes it as "partial 16S ribosomal RNA". It matches the Rfam family "Bacterial small subunit ribosomal RNA", at positions 28 to 507 of the family's 1533-position model. The record is from RNAcentral.
GAUGAACGCUGGCGGCGUGCCUAAUACAUGCAAGUCGAGCGAACAGACGAGGAGCUUGCUCCUCUGACGUUAGCGGCGGACGGGUGAGUAACACGUGGAUAACCUACCUAUAAGACUGGGAUAACUUCGGGAAACCGGAGCUAAUACCGGAUAAUAUAUUGAACCGCAUGGUUCAAUAGUGAAAGACGGUUUUGCUGUCACUUAUAGAUGGAUCCGCGCCGCAUUAGCUAGUUGGUAAGGUAACGGCUUACCAAGGCAACGAUGCGUAGCCGACCUGAGAGGGUGAUCGGCCACACUGGAACUUAGACACGGUCCAGACUCCUACGGGAGGCAGCAGGAGGGAAUCUUCCGGAAUGGGCGAAAGCCUGACGGAGCAACGCCGCGUGAGUGAUGAAGGUCUUCGGAUCGGAAAACUCUGUUAUUAGGGAAGAACAAAUGUGUAAGUAACUAUGCACGUCUUUACGGUACCUAAUCAGAAAGCCACGGCUAACUACGUG